AUUUAAAAACAUACCAAAAUGGCGCCAGAGCCACUGGAUAUCUCUGAGCAUGAGUUGCUCUUCAAAGCAACCGAUUUAUCCAAACUGGCCUGUAUAGAUUUGUCUCAGUACCUGGAGUCAUACAUGAGGAAUAUUAGAAACCUCUACAAUAACUCCUCAGCAGUAAAAGCUCAUUUUGCUAAAGCUGAGAUGGUGAUUCAGAAUUUAUCGAUUAUCUUUGCCAAGAAUAUCGGCUCAAUUUGGGCAAGAGCUAUGAAGAUACGACUUGCGUUCUCUGCUAACAUGAAUCAGAAAAAAAAUAACGAUGAUAAAGACGAUGAGGAUUGUGAUGGAGGAACUGGCGAAGAAGGUGCUGAUAAGCCAAAAGAAAAAGCUAAGAAGAAGAAAAAGGGAACAUUUAAUGUUGAAGAAUUUAAACUCCUACCUUUUCUCAAUACUGAUGAGUGUAAAAUUGUAUAA
Molecule: long non-coding RNA, 459 nt
Filed under: Bemisia tabaci
Lineage: Eukaryota; Metazoa; Arthropoda; Insecta; Hemiptera; Aleyrodidae
Description: lncRNA ENSASIAIIG005673
Source: RNAcentral